GGUGCGGGAGCUGGCGCGGGACGUGCGGGGGCAGCUGGCGCCCUGGGCCGCCCUCGUGGCCGUGCUGGUGGUGGCCCCGCAGGAGGCGGCGGCGGCAGGCGAGGCGGAGGCGGCCCGCUUGCGGCUGGAGGCGCUGCUGCGGCGGGCGUGCGCGCGGCGGCGGCCGGCCCAGCACGAAGCGCUCCAAGCCGCCCUCUACAGCCCCGGCGCCCCCCACGCCGCCGCCCCCGUCCGCCUCGCCGCCCUCCGCGCCCUCCGCGCCGCCCUCCAGCUGCGGGCAGAUGGGGUGGAAACGGAGAAGCCGAGACUCCCCGCCUUCUUGAGGUGCUUUUCUUGGGGCAGAAGGAACCAGAAGGCCGCAGGCUGUUUGGGCGAACCGGCAGACGCCUCUGGGGACGGUGGCCUGCAAGAGGCAGAAGAAGGGGUCGCUUUGACCAACCUGGCCCCAAAUGGAAUUUGUGAAGAAGUCUGUGGAAUGGCAGGCACUUAGGACCCGGGGUCGAAUCUUGCCUGGAUUAGACUGGGGCCAGUCAUCUCCAGAUAAUGGAUCAGAAGGCAGGAUGUUCCCAGCAUGCUCUUCCGAGAAGGCAACCGGGACACUUCCGUUAUAUCUUGGAGGAAGGUUCUUGCCUGAUGGGGAAGAAUCCCCUUUUCUAGCUCUGUUUUCAUGCCAACGAUGGAUGACUUUUGACCUUUGAGGAUUGCGCUGGAAGUGUGUGGAGAGCCCGAGAGCCAGUUUGGCGUAGUGCUUAAGUGCGCGGACUCUUCUCUGGGAGAACCGGGUUUGAUUCCCCACUCCACCACAUGCACCUGUUGAUGUGACCUUGAGUCAGUUAUAAGUUCUCACACAGCUGUCCCUUUCAAGAGCUCUCUCAGCUCCACCUACCUCACAGGGUGUCUGUUGUGGGGAGGGGAAGGGAAAGGAGAUUGUAAGCCGGUCUGGGACUCCUUCGGGUAGGGAAGGGCGGGAUAUAAAUCCAAUCUCUUCUUCUUAUACAACGGAAGCUGCGUGUCAGUUUAACAGAUGUGGCCGGCCUGGUGCUUCAACUGGAUGAACAUCUUCAUCGUACCA
This is a long non-coding RNA of Heteronotia binoei (common prickly gecko), 1072 nucleotides long. RefSeq lists it as uncharacterized. The transcript has 3 exons. The record is from RefSeq and is a predicted model, not a curated record. NCBI's taxonomy places the organism in Eukaryota, Metazoa, Chordata, Lepidosauria, Squamata, Gekkonidae.